Clostridium sp. is the source of this 103-nucleotide regulatory RNA element. It matches the Rfam family "TPP riboswitch aptamer (THI element)". Rfam says of the family: Vitamin B(1) in its active form thiamin pyrophosphate (TPP) is an essential coenzyme that is synthesised by coupling of pyrimidine and thiazole moieties in bacteria. NCBI's taxonomy places the organism in Bacteria, Bacillati, Bacillota, Clostridia, Eubacteriales, Clostridiaceae. The record is from Rfam.
AUGAAUAGCUAGGGGUGCCCCAACGGCUGAGAGAUGAAUUUAUUCAUUAACCCUCAAACCUGAUCUGGAUAAUACCAGCGUAGGAAAGCUUUACUAAAUAUAC